RNAcentral lists this unclassified non-coding RNA (705 nucleotides) under Hevea brasiliensis (rubber tree). The record is from RNAcentral. Lineage: Eukaryota; Viridiplantae; Streptophyta; Magnoliopsida; Malpighiales; Euphorbiaceae.
GAAGAUACAGCGCUAGACAUCUUGGAUGCAUCAAAUGAACUUGCUCUCUUUCUGGCCAGAGCUGUGAUUGACGAUGUCUUGGCUCCUCUGAAUCUGGAGGAUAUUGCUGGCAGGUUGAUCCCAAAUUGUACUGGAAGUGAGACUGUCCGAAUGGCCCGGUCAUUAAUUGCCGCUCGUCAUGCUGGUGAAAGGCUUUUGAGAUGCUGGGGUGGUGGAACUGGCUGGGCAGUGGAGGAUGCAAAGGAUAAGAUUCAGAAGCUCUUAGAGGAGUACGAAAGCGGAGGUGUUGUGAGUGAAGCUUGCCAGUGCAUCCGUGAUCUAGGGAUGCCUUUCUUCAACCAUGAGGUUGUGAAGAAGGCAUUGGUUAUGGCCAUGGAGAAGAAUGACAGGAUUCUCGAUCUGCUGCAGGAAUGCUUCAAUGUUGGCCUGAUCACCAUCAACCAGAUGACUAAAGGCUUCUCUAGGAUCAAAGACAGCCUCGACGAUCUCGCACUUGACAUUCCAAAUGCAAGCAAGAAGUUUACAUCCUAUGUCGAGCACGCCCAGAAGAAAGGAUGGCUCUUACCAUCCUUCGGAUCAUCUGCUGCUGCAGAUUCUUCAGUGCUCUUGGCUGCAGCUUCCUGAGGCAAAAAAUGCAUGUUGUUGCUCACCGUCUCGAAGCGCCAUGCCAUGAGCGUUAUGCACCAUCUCGAAGCACCAUGAGCU